AUUGAACGCUGGCGGCAGGCCUAACACAUGCAAGUCGAGCGGAUGAAGGGAGCUUGCUCCUGGAUUCAGCGGCGGACGGGUGAGUAAUGCCUAGGAAUCUGCCUGGUAGUGGGGGAUAACGUCCUGAAACGGGCGCUAAUACCGCAUACGUCCUGAGGGAGAAAGUGGGGGAUCUUCGGACCUCACGCUAUCAGAUGAGCCUAGGUCGGAUUAGCUAGUUGGUGGGGUAAAGGCCUACCAAGGCGACGAUCCGUAGGUGGUCUGAGAGGAUGAUCAGUCACACUGGAACUGAGACACGGUCCAGACUCCUACGGGAGGCAGCAGUGGGGAAUAUUGGACAAUGGGCGAAAGCCUGAUCCAGCCAUGCCGCGUGUGUGAAGAAGGUCUUCGGAUUGUAAAGCACUUUAAGUUGGGAGGAAGGGCAGUAAGUUAAUACCUUGCUGUUUUGACGUUACCAACAGAAUAAGCACCGGCUAACUUCGUG
Molecule: ribosomal RNA, 484 nt
Filed under: uncultured bacterium
Lineage: Bacteria
Description: partial 16S ribosomal RNA
Rfam family: Bacterial small subunit ribosomal RNA
Source: RNAcentral